CUGGAGCAGUUCCACGGACCGGGACAACAUUCCUUGCACAUCCCAAAACCACGGCAGCCCUGCCCAUCCCCACAGGGACACAGGGGACAGGGCCCAGCGUCCCCCCGGCAGGACAGGGGACCCGAUCCCAGCUCCUCACCGCGCAGGGAGGGAUCCGGCCCCGCCCAGGCUCGGGGCUGAAUCCUUUGUCUGCUCCCUCCCCUCGACAGAACAAUCCGGGAUUUAAGGCCACCAGUGCCGAGGUCAGCGAGGUCCGUGAGCCGGAGCUGAUCCCGGAGUUGGGAUGGGCUUGCCCGGGACUGCCGGGACUCCCCAGCCCCGCGCUGUCUCCUUGUCCCAGGCGCCGGGGUGCAAACCCGGAGCAGUUCUGCCUCCCAAAAUCCACGGCUGGGGCUGGGGCAGGGAGGAGCUCCGGGAGGGGUGAAGGUGCAACGGGGAGUGGGGACGGGCCUGGGAGCAGCACGGGGACAGCAGGAGUGCCACAGCGUCCUGCAGGAGUGCCACAGUGUCCUGCAGGAGUGCCACAGUGUCCUGCCAGGGGACAUCAGGAGUGCCACAGCCUCCUGCAGGAGUGCCACAGCCUCCUGCCAGGGACAGGCCACUUUAGUGUUAGCCACACGGAUCCCCGAAUCCGCCCUUCCCGGGGGCUCUGCCGGGGCCCCCGAGCCCCGCGGGCGGUGGGAGAGCGCCAGAGCUGCCCUUAACUGAGAACAAAACAAAACCAAACCAAGAACAAAACCCCAGAAAGGGAAGGAGAGGUCAGUCCGUGCGGGCGCUCCCGGGGCCAUCAUCUGCCCGCAGGCUGCGACUGUGGGGCCACGAUGACGGGCGAGGCGGCCGGCACGGCCAGCUCUGUCCUGUGCCCGGCCAGCUGCGCCAGCACCGAGGUGGCCACGGCCUCGGCGGCCGAGCGCGCGGCGCCCAGCCCGUUGGCCGAGCCGGGCUGGAUGACGGGCGCGGGCGAGCCCGAGGGCUCCGAGCUCUCCUUCGGGCUCUCUGCGGGGCGGCGGGA
This 1012-nucleotide long non-coding RNA is filed under the name Chloebia gouldiae (Gouldian finch). Its description in RNAcentral is "Erythrura gouldiae (Gouldian finch) lncRNA (ENSEGOG00005018678.1)". The record is from RNAcentral. Lineage: Eukaryota; Metazoa; Chordata; Aves; Passeriformes; Passeridae.